Molecule: ribosomal RNA, 253 nt
Filed under: uncultured microorganism
Description: partial 16S ribosomal RNA
Rfam family: Bacterial small subunit ribosomal RNA
Source: RNAcentral
UACGGAGGGUGCAAGCGUUAAUCGGAAUUACUGGGCGUAAAGCGUACGUAGGCGGCUUGUUAAGCAAGAUGUGAAAUCCCCGGGCUCAACCUGGGAAUGGCAUUUUGAACUGGCAGGCUCGAGUUCUGAAGAGGGUGGUAGAAUUUCCAGUGUAGCGGUGAAAUGCGUAGAUAUAUGGAGGAACGCCGGUGGCGAAGGCGGCUUCCUGGCCCGUUACUGACGCUGAGGCACGAAAGCCAGGGGAGCGAACCGG